RNAcentral lists this ribosomal RNA (497 nucleotides) under uncultured bacterium. RNAcentral's name for it is "partial 16S ribosomal RNA". It matches the Rfam family "Bacterial small subunit ribosomal RNA", at positions 28 to 507 of the family's 1533-position model. The record is from RNAcentral.
GACGAACGCUGGCGGCGUGCCUAAUACAUGCAAGUUGAGCGAUGAAGAUUGGUGCUUGCACCAAUUUGCAGAGCAGCGAACGGGUGAGUAACGCGUGGGGAAUCUGCCUUUGAGCGGGGGACAACAUUUGGAAACGAAUGCUAAUACCGCAUAACAACUUUAAACAUAAGUUUUAAGUUUGAAAGAUGCAAUUGCAUCACUCAAAGAUGAUCCCGCGUUGUAUUAGCUAGUUGGUGAGGUAAAGGCUCACCAAGGCGAUGAUACAUAGCCGACCUGAGAGGGUGAUCGGCCACAUUGGGACUGAGACACGGCCCAAACUCCUACGGGAGGCAGCAGUAGGGAAUCUUCGGCAAUGGACGAAAGUCUGACCGAGCAACGCCGCGGGAGUGAAGAAGGGUGUCGGAUCGUAAAACUCUGUUGGUAGAGAAGAACGUUGGUGAGAGUGGAAAGCUCAUCAAGUGACGGUAACUACCCAGAAAGGGACGGCUAACUACGUG